GAAAAAUUCACUUGAAGCUUCGAUCUGAUCGGUCUUCUCGAGCAUGCUAGCUCACGCGAAGAUCUUUUUCUUGGCUAAUCUGGAUCUUUUCUUCAAAUCUCUAGAAUCUUUCUAGAGAUUGAAGAUGAACUUCUAGAGAAUAUGAGGAUGUGAAAGAAGAAAGGAGAAGAAGCAAUUUUUUCUCAUAUUUUUCUCUCUUCCCAAACCCUGAGGACCAAAACCUAGAAUUCAGCUUUUGCGCUAACCCAAAGAGAGAGGACUCUCUUCCUCUUUUUCACACCAUGAACCAAUGCCCCAAGCCUC
This 303-nucleotide long non-coding RNA is filed under the name Elaeis guineensis (African oil palm). RNAcentral describes it as "long non-coding RNA (EGUI_LNC068938)". Lineage: Eukaryota; Viridiplantae; Streptophyta; Magnoliopsida; Arecales; Arecaceae. The record is from RNAcentral.